CGUGUAGCUCAGUUGGUAGAGCGCUGUGCUGAUAACGCAGAGGUCCUGAGUUCGAACCUCAG
This 62-nucleotide transfer RNA is filed under the name Climacostomum virens. It matches the Rfam family "tRNA", at positions 6 to 63 of the family's 71-position model. Rfam says of the family: Transfer RNA (tRNA) molecules are approximately 80 nucleotides in length. The record is from RNAcentral. Lineage: Eukaryota; Ciliophora; Heterotrichea; Heterotrichida; Climacostomidae.